Long non-coding RNA from Lycium ferocissimum, 573 nucleotides. RefSeq lists it as uncharacterized. The transcript has 2 exons. The record is from RefSeq and is a predicted model, not a curated record. Lineage: Eukaryota; Viridiplantae; Streptophyta; Magnoliopsida; Solanales; Solanaceae.
UCGGCCCAUUAUUAAAGCUCUGCUAAAACCCUAAACUUUCAAGUCUAUAAAUUUCUGUUUUCAACUUCAACAAUUUGGGGUUCAGCCCCCCAAAGUAGCCAAAACAAUGUUUUGUAGAUUUACCUUGCUGAAUGGGUGUUGGCUCAGCGUUGAUGUUUAAGAUGACUCCAUUUUGAAGUUGAAUAUGGUUCGUGAAGCAUUUGGAGUAAUCUACAUGAAUGCCAUUUAUAGCUUGGAAUAAUCUGUUUUCCCAGUCAUUAAGCAAGUGUACAUGAAAACCAAGUACAGCUUGUAAGUUGUAACAAUUUAACUUCUGGGCUAUACGAUUAUUCUUCCACGGACCUGGGUGACUCAAUGAUGUUAUAAGAUUGUCUUGGAGAAUGUCACGUAAAGCAGUAGUUGCAUAUAUUGUCGAUAGAUACAAAUUGUUGUUAUUUUUUUGGUCAAUUUGAGCUUGUUAUUAUAUACAAAUGAUUUUUAAGUUUUGUAUACUUUAGCCUGUUACUGAUUAUAUUGUUUGUCUCUCCUAAACUAAAAUGCACCGAUGAGUUAAUUUUAAAGAUGAAUUUUGCA